UAAGCGCCCUUUCUUUGGUGA
This 21-nucleotide non-coding RNA is filed under the name Caenorhabditis elegans. The record is from RNAcentral. Lineage: Eukaryota; Metazoa; Nematoda; Chromadorea; Rhabditida; Rhabditidae.